This 39-nucleotide small nuclear RNA is filed under the name Cervus elaphus hippelaphus. The record is from RNAcentral. Lineage: Eukaryota; Metazoa; Chordata; Mammalia; Artiodactyla; Cervidae.
AUCGCAUCUCAGCCUUUUGGCUAAGACCAAAUAUAGUAU